Molecule: ribosomal RNA, 266 nt
Filed under: uncultured bacterium
Lineage: Bacteria
Description: partial 16S ribosomal RNA
Rfam family: Bacterial small subunit ribosomal RNA
Source: RNAcentral
UACGAAGGGUGCAAGCGUUACUCGGAAUUACUGGGCGUAAAGCGUGCGUAGGUGGUUUGUUAAGUCUGUUGUGAAAGCCCCGGGCUCAACCUGGGAAUGGCAAUGGAUACUGGCAGGCUAGAGUGCGGUAGAGGGUAGUGGAAUUCCCGGUGUAGCGGUGAAAUGCAUAGAGAUCGGGAGGAACACCAGUGGCGAAGGCGGCUACCUGGACCAGCACUGACACUGAGGCACGAAAGCGUGGGGAGCAAACAGGAUUAGAACUACCG